UCUCCGUAGGUGAACCUGCGGAGGGAUCAUUACAGAGUUCUCGCCCUCGCGGGUAGAUCUCCCACCCACUGUUAUCGUUACUGUGUUGCUUUGGCGGGCCGCCGGGCCCCGCUCGGCCGCCGGCUCCGGCUGGCGCGCGCCCGCCAGAGGCCCAGCAAACUCUGAAUGUUAGUGUCGUCUGAGUACUAUAUAAUAGUUAAAACUCUCAACAACGGAUCUCUUGGUUCUG
This 229-nucleotide unclassified non-coding RNA is filed under the name plant metagenome. RNAcentral describes it as "partial contains small subunit ribosomal RNA, internal transcribed spacer 1, and 5.8S ribosomal RNA". The record is from RNAcentral.